ACCUCGGUGGUGCAGUGGUAGUAUGCGUCUCCGGUAUAGAUUAAACACGGGCUCGACUCCCGUCCAAGGUC
This is a non-coding RNA of Parelaphostrongylus tenuis, 71 nucleotides long. The record is from the annotation of a GenBank genome assembly. Lineage: Eukaryota; Metazoa; Nematoda; Chromadorea; Rhabditida; Metastrongylidae.